RNAcentral lists this ribosomal RNA (677 nucleotides) under Evarcha latus. Its description in RNAcentral is "partial large subunit ribosomal RNA". The stretch from base 433 to 677 matches the Rfam family "Eukaryotic large subunit ribosomal RNA", at positions 665 to 879 of the family's 3401-position model. The record is from RNAcentral. Lineage: Eukaryota; Metazoa; Arthropoda; Arachnida; Araneae; Salticidae.
GGACCUGCGUCAGGAAGACUCGGGUAGGGCUUCCCGUGACUGGGGCCGUCUUGUCGUGGGGCUUCCGUCGUUCCAGACGCAUUUGUCUCUCGUCCGAAGGACGCUGUAGCCGGUUUGGAAGUGCAAGCGCGGCGGCCUGAAGGUCGGGAAAUGGCAGGUGGCCGGCGGCUCGCCUCGUGCGGGUUGUCGGUUGUUAGCCGUCCCGUCAGUGGCUCGUCUCCAGACCGAGGUGUCGCGAGUCCCGUUAGGGACUCCUCGUCUCCACCCCAGGGUUGCGAGACUGGUCGUGGCAAGGGCUCCGUAUUCCCACCGUCGCACUACUAAGGAGUGGGCGGAGGGCUGCGGGUCCCCGUUGGCUGCGACGGACUCGUGGGGGGCUCGAGGCUGACAGCGAGUAGGUCGGUCACCCACCCGACCCGUCUUGAAACACGGACCAAGGAGUCUAACAUGUGCGCGAGUCAAUGGGUCUUGACUAGGCCCAGGGGCGCAAUGAAAGCGAAGGAAUGCCUAGCGCAGUCUGAGUGGGGAUCCCUCCCUCUCGAGGGGGGGCGCACCCACGACCCGUCCUAUCCGGCUCGCCGGUUGGGCGGAGUCUGAGCGUACACGUUGGGACCCGAAAGAUGGUGAACUAUGCCCGGACAGGACGAGGCCAGAGGAAACUCUGGUGGAGGUCCGCA